UUAACUCAAAUUUGAAUGGAAUUGGAACGUUUGCCUACGUUUGCAGCUAGGGACGCUGUUCCAACUGAUUUGAGUUA
This 77-nucleotide microRNA precursor is filed under the name Bombyx mori (domestic silkworm). RNAcentral describes it as "mir-2807 microRNA precursor family". It matches the Rfam family "mir-2807 microRNA precursor family". Lineage: Eukaryota; Metazoa; Arthropoda; Insecta; Lepidoptera; Bombycidae. The record is from Rfam by way of RNAcentral.